RNAcentral lists this ribosomal RNA (460 nucleotides) under uncultured bacterium. Its description in RNAcentral is "partial 16S ribosomal RNA". It matches the Rfam family "Bacterial small subunit ribosomal RNA", at positions 338 to 795 of the family's 1533-position model. The record is from RNAcentral.
CCUACGAGAGGCUGCAGUGAGGAAUAUUGUUCAAUGGUCGGAAGCCUGAACCAGCCAAGUAGCGUGCAGGAUGACGGCCCUACGGGUUGUAAACUGCUUUUAUACGGGACUAACGCGCCUUACGUGUAGGGCUUUGCAUGUACCGUAUGAAUAAGGACCGGCUAAUUCCGUGCCAGCAGCCGCGGUAAUACGGAAGGUCCGGGCGUUAUCCGGAUUUCUUGGGUUUAAAGGGAGCGUAGGCCGCAUGUUAAGCGUGCUGUGAAAUGCCCGGGCUCAACCCGGGCCUUGCAGCGCGAACUGGCGUGCGUGAGUCCGCGGAAAGCAGGCGGAAUUCGUCGUGUAGCGGUGAAAUGCUUAGAUAUGACGAAGAACCCCGAUUGCGAAGGCAGCUUGCUACAGCGGUACUGACGCUGAUGCUCGAAGGCGCGGGUAUCGAACAGGAUUAGAUACCCUUGUAGUC